Non-coding RNA from Malus domestica (apple), 763 nucleotides. NCBI's taxonomy places the organism in Eukaryota, Viridiplantae, Streptophyta, Magnoliopsida, Rosales, Rosaceae. The record is from RefSeq and is a predicted model, not a curated record.
AUCCUUGCUUUUGUGGAGUCUCUUUUUUUUUCUUCAAAUUUUGGGGCUUUUAUUUGCAGGGUUCGAAGCUCUUUGUACUCAAGUAACAUUGCCCUUGAGCUUUUUGUUGAAAGGUUGAGUUCGAUGAAGAAAUAUGUAUUUGGAUUAGGCUCUGUUCAGGAAAAAGUUGUCAUGUUAAGCAAACAAUUGAGCCAUUUAAAAAGUUUGCACGAUCUUAAUGGCCACAUCAAAAGCAGCUUUCACAUUCAAUUUUAUUCUCCCAAAAGCUACUAACGUAGCUCCAAUGAUGGGUCGAGUAAGGUCCCUCAGUCCAUGAUUCACUCUCGAUUGUCCGUUUCCUUUUGCAUGUCGGAUGAGUGGCUGGAUUUCGAAAGCUAAGUUCAAUUUUUAAUUCGAUUCUUUACUGUUAGCAUAGAUUGUCAUCAUUUAUGCCUUUUUGCUGUGAAUUAUUUCCAUAUUUUGUUGCACUGUUAGGUCAGGUUUUGAGGGUUCCUUUAUUUGGUUUUGGGGGUUCCUUUAUUUGUUUCGUUUUCUCUCAUUUUGCGGAUGCAUCUCUCUGUUCUAUGUAUUGUUCUUAAGUAAGGUCAGUUUCCUUUAUUUUUUUUUGGGUUUUCAGUUCGUUAAUAUGUGACUCUGUGUUUAGAUUUUUCGUUCGUGUAUGAUUAAAUGGGUAUUGGGUUUUGGUUGUUGAAAAUAUGAUUUUUUCCUGCUUUUCUUGCUCAUUUUUCUGGAAAUGGGAAAAUUUGAGGAAAUUGAUAAAAUG